AGUGAACGCUGGCGGUAGGCCUAACACAUGCAAGUCGAACGGCAGCACAGUAAGAGCUUGCUCUUACGGGUGGCGAGUGGCGGACGGGUGAGGAAUACAUCGGAAUCUACUUUUUCGUGGGGGAUAACGUAGGGAAACUUACGCUAAUACCGCAUACGACCUACGGGUGAAAGCAGGGGAUCUUCGGACCUUGCGCGAUUGAAUGAGCCGAUGUCGGAUUAGCUAGUUGGCGGGGUAAAGGCCCACCAAGGCGACGAUCCGUAGCUGGUCUGAGAGGAUGAUCAGCCACACUGGAACUGAGACACGGUCCAGACUCCUACGGGAGGCAGUAGUGGGGAAUAUUGGACAAUGGGCGCAAGCCUGAUCCAGCCAUACUGCGUGGGUGAAGAAGGCCUUCGGGUUGUAAAGCCCUUUUGUUGGGAAAGAAAAGCAGCAGGUUAAUACCCCGCUGUUCUGACGGUACCCAAAGAAUAAGCACCGGCUAACUUCGUG
This 492-nucleotide ribosomal RNA is filed under the name uncultured bacterium. Its description in RNAcentral is "partial 16S ribosomal RNA". It matches the Rfam family "Bacterial small subunit ribosomal RNA", at positions 29 to 507 of the family's 1533-position model. The record is from RNAcentral.